Molecule: ribosomal RNA, 501 nt
Filed under: uncultured bacterium
Lineage: Bacteria
Description: partial 16S ribosomal RNA
Rfam family: Bacterial small subunit ribosomal RNA
Source: RNAcentral
AUUGAACGCUGGCGGCAGGCUUAACACAUGCAAGUCGAGCGGAGAUGAGGUGCUUGCACCUUAUCUUAGCGGCGGACGGGUGAGUAAUGCUUAGGAAUCUGCCUAUUAGUGGGGGACAACAUUCCGAAAGGAAUGCUAAUACCGCAUACGUCCUACGGGAGAAAGCAGGGGAUCUUCGGACCUUGCGCUAAUAGAUGAGCCUAAGUCGGAUUAGCUAGUUGGUGGGGUAAAGGACUACCAAGGCGACGAUCUGUAGCGGGUCUGAGAGGAUGAACCGCCACACUGGGACUGAGACACGGCCCAGACUCCUACGGGAGGCAGCAGUGGGGAAUAUUGGACAAUGGGGGGAACCCUGAUCCAGCCAUGCCGCGUGUGUGAAGAAGGCCUUAUGGUUGUAAAGCACUUUAAGCGAGGAGGAGGCUACUGAGACUAAUACUCUUGGAUAGUGGACGUUACUCGCAGAAUAGGCACCGGCUAACUCUGUGCCAGCCGCCGCUGUAA